CCUACGGGUGGCAGCAGUGGGGAAUAUUGGGCAAUGGGCGCAAGCCUGACCCAGCAACGCCGCGUGAAGGAAGAAGGCUUUCGGGUUGUAAACUUCUUUUGUCAGGGACGAAGCAAGUGACGGUACCUGACGAAUAAGCCACGGCUAACUACGUGCCAGCAGCCGCGGUAAUACGUAGGUGGCAAGCGUUAUCCGGAUUUAUUGGGUGUAAAGGGCGUGUAGGCGGGAAUGCAAGUCAGAUGUGAAAACUAUGGGCUCAACCCAUAGCCUGCAUUUGAAACUGUAUUUCUUGAGUGCUGGAGAGGCAAUCGGAAUUCCGUGUGUAGCGGUGAAAUGCGUAGAUAUACGGAGGAACACCAGUGGCGAAGGCAGCUUACCAGACUGCGACUGACGCUGAAGCACGAGAGCGUGGGUAGCGAACAGGAUUAGAUACCCCUGUAGUC
RNAcentral lists this ribosomal RNA (443 nucleotides) under uncultured bacterium. RNAcentral describes it as "partial 16S ribosomal RNA". It matches the Rfam family "Bacterial small subunit ribosomal RNA", at positions 338 to 795 of the family's 1533-position model. The record is from RNAcentral.